RNAcentral lists this ribosomal RNA (509 nucleotides) under uncultured bacterium. RNAcentral describes it as "bacterial SSU rRNA". It matches the Rfam family "Bacterial small subunit ribosomal RNA", at positions 357 to 859 of the family's 1533-position model. The record is from RNAcentral.
GGGAAUUUUGGACAAUGGGCGAAAGCCUGAUCCAGCAAUGCCGCGUGUGUGAAGAAGGCCUUCGGGUUGUAAAGCACUUUUGUCCGGAAAGAAAACGCCGUGGUUAAUACCCGUGGCGGAUGACGGUACCGGAAGAAUAAGCACCGGCUAACUACGUGCCAGCAGCCGCGGUAAUACGUAGGGUGCAAGCGUUAAUCGGAAUUACUGGGCGUAAAGCGUGCGCAGGCGGUCCGCUAAGACAGAUGUGAAAUCCCCGGGCUUAACCUGGGAACUGCAUUUGUGACUGGCGGGCUAGAGUAUGGCAGAGGGGGGUAGAAUUCCACGUGUAGCAGUGAAAUGCGUAGAGAUGUGGAGGAAUACCGAUGGCGAAGGCAGCCCCCUGGGCCAAUACUGACGCUCAUGCACGAAAGCGUGGGGAGCAAACAGGAUUAGAUACCCUGGUAGUCCACGCCCUAAACGAUGUCAACUAGUUGUCGGGUCUUCAUUGACUUGGUAACGUAGCUAACGCG